AUCUGUGUAAUUAUUUAAAUCUUUGAAAUAUUUGGAUAUUGCUUCUCAUUAGAGAAAGUCAGAAGCAGACCCUGAAGCGAUUCCUUUGGAGCAACCGUUAACCAGAACACUACUUUUUCUUUUGCAGUCCAAACAAGAAAAUGAUGGAGAUUGCUUUUAAAAGACCCGUAUUUCUCGGCCUACUGAAAACCAGACUGGAACCCUAGUUGCCCCUGUGCCAGUUUUCAUGGUCCAAUGCUAGAAUGGAGUACCCCGAACGCUCCGGUACCUCCGACGUGAUGGAUGUGUCAUCUGAUGACAGAACAAAGGAAGAGAGCUCGGACCCAGGAGAGGCCUUGGAACAGACUUGGGAUCCGCUUGCAUUUUCUGGGACUUGCCGGGCUGAAGAUGCCGUUCCCCCUCCUUCUUUGGGUCUUGUACAGGACAGAUUGGGGGGUCUUCUCUGCAGAAGGGAAACCCCCUCUGAGAAAUCCAUUCCAGUGUUAACGCAGAAUAAUCUUGAACUGGGCUUGGACUUCUCUGAGAGAUCCGGCCAGCCUUUCGAGACGAUAAAAAACUUGAAAACUCAGGAUAAGCGUAAUAAUGACGCUGCCCAGUCUGUUUUUUGGGCUGGUAUCCUGCAAGCUCAGUUGUGUGUCUUAGAUCUUCAGGAGGAAUUGGAUAAGCAGGAAGAAUCUCUGCAGGUUCACAGUGUGAAUUCUGAAUCCCUGGACUCAGCUACCUUCAACAAUCCUUCCCUCCUGGCAAGUGAUAGUGAGGAGGAGCCAGAAGAGAAUUUAGAAAAACAGGAGGAGGAAGAAAGCGAGGAGGAGGAAGAGGAGGAGGAGGAAGAGGAGGAGGAGGAAGUUGAAUACUUAUUUUUCAAUAACCCACUCUUUCAGGAAAGUCCUCACUUAACCAGAACUUUUGAAGGACAAGUUCCAUGGUCACAAUCAGAAGGAGAAACGUCCACUGAGAAUUACAAGAAAGAUGGCAAAAGUGAAGUGGGCUCUGGAAACCAUCACGGUGACUUCUUUUCCCAGGCCAAGGUGGCAGUAAGGCCUGUGGGCAGGACUUAUUUAUCUUCAUCUGGUCCGGAUGCUGAUGAGGACACAACCGCCUGUUCUUGUCCAAGUUAUGUGCCCCAUUAUCGCUCCUUGUCCCCAUUGAUAAUUACAGAAAGAGACCUUGAAAUCACCUGCUCUUUGGAUGAGAAUUCAGAGGCGGAGGGCUGUUUCCUGGAUCCCCUCCAAGGAGACGUUCUGGAAAGCAUCACUCCAGAGCCGCCUCCGCCUGGGUACCUGCCGGCAGAAGGCCUGCUGUUCUCCACCUCCGGCCCUUCCCUGGUGUCUGCUUUGCUGCAAGAGUCCACGCAGAGCUGCCCCCCCGCCAGGCCUACGUCUCCAGGGACGAGCGGCUGCGUCCCUUCCAGCGUCCGGGUCCCCUCGGCUCCCGCUGCAGAGCAGAGUCUGCAGCAAGAGAGGUUGGAGCCACAAGCCUCGCCCCGCGGCCGCCCUCCUUCGCCUUCCCGCACCUGGCUAGAGGAGCCUGAAAGAACUUCCUCUCCGCAGAAGGACGUCAGCGGAGCAGAUGUGCUCCCCAGCCCACUCUGUGGUGCAGAGCGGAAGCCGCCCAGCUCAGUCGAGAGAUGCAGCAUGGUGGAGCUGCCAGCUAUGCAAAGCGAUGGGAGGCCGGAAGGCAGAGGAGAAGAGCCCGCAGUACAGUAAGGAUGCUCUUUUUUGUGCCUCUUGGG
RNAcentral lists this long non-coding RNA (1732 nucleotides) under Pseudonaja textilis. Its description in RNAcentral is "lncRNA (ENSPTXG00000014072.1)". Lineage: Eukaryota; Metazoa; Chordata; Lepidosauria; Squamata; Elapidae. The record is from RNAcentral.